This is a non-coding RNA of Paramuricea clavata, 211 nucleotides long. NCBI's taxonomy places the organism in Eukaryota, Metazoa, Cnidaria, Anthozoa, Malacalcyonacea, Plexauridae. The record is from the annotation of a GenBank genome assembly.
UCUUUAUUUUAACUUUCAUUAUGUUUUAAUAAUUUAAUCCUUCAAGUUCCUUCGAGCAAACAAAUAAACAAAAUUCUGACACUGUGUGUAUAUAAAAUUUCAGAUAUGCUCUGUUGACGAAGAAUGAUACUUCAUGUUGGCGUAAUAUAAUGGCUCGCACUGAAAUUCACGCGCUUUAGGUAAAAUUUAAAAAUAUUUUUGUUUUCUCUCA